GCUGAGAAUGAAGAGAGAAAUAUAGGAUGC
Molecule: non-coding RNA, 30 nt
Filed under: Homo sapiens (human)
Lineage: Eukaryota; Metazoa; Chordata; Mammalia; Primates; Hominidae
Source: RNAcentral